GGCUGUUCUUGCAUUGCUAUAAAGAAAUACCUGAGCUUAGGUAAUUUAUAAAGACAAGAGGUUUAGUUGGCUCAUGGUUCUGCAGGCUUUACAGGAAGCAUGGCGUUGGCAUCUGCUUGGCUUCUGGGGAAGCUUACAAUUAUGGCAGAAGUUCUAAUUGCUAAAUUUCAGAAAAUACCAAAGGGAAAUACAGAAAGAACCAUGGCAGUAAAUUAGUGGUCAAGGACCAGACAAAUGGAAAAAACAAUUCAAAUUCUCCAACCCAGAAGAAACACAGAGGCAGAGAAAAGCUGAAGAGAUCAGGCAGGGUUUGCAUGAUAAUUAGAAUGAUUUUUCAAAUCUGAAACUUAAGAGCCAUGAAACAACACUGAAGAUUAAAAGGGGCUGUAUGAAGACAAUUUCUUCGUUUUUUUGACAAUUUAUUUUAAUCACCAUUUUAAGGAAAUGUAUGGAACAUCUUAUUCAUGAGUUCCCCAUCUAUGAAACGGUGAUUGUGAGGAUGAAAUGAGUAAAGGGCUUAGAACAGUGCUUGCCAAAUGGUAAGUGCUUAAAAAACUUCGGCCAUACCUCCACGUGUAGAAAAAAGUUAACACAGCAGACCUGACUGCGAUUCUGCUUACAAGCCUGGCCCUUGACUGGCAUCUGGGAACCUGGAUUUCAGGAAGGUUCCUACCACCAUUAACUGAUCAACUCCCCACCGCAAAAAACUAAAGAUGCUGGAUAAGACACUAAAACAAAACCACCUUAAAAGGACUGAAAAAUUAAAAAGAGCGGCCAGGCCAAAUUCUUGAGGCUAGCUUGAACCCAAAGAGGUUAGUGGAAAGAAAGUCGGCAUCCCAAAGCCACCUUUGCCCUGAAGGCAUUCACUCACAUCGUGCACUGGGGCUGCGGUCUGGUAGCCUCAUGGGGGGAUGAGGCUAGAAGUGAAGAUCCAGGAUUUUGCCAAUUUGGAUCAUCUCACAGGAUAACUUUCCCACAUUAAGCUGAAAU
Long non-coding RNA from Symphalangus syndactylus (siamang), 990 nucleotides. RefSeq lists it as uncharacterized. Lineage: Eukaryota; Metazoa; Chordata; Mammalia; Primates; Hylobatidae. The record is from RefSeq and is a predicted model, not a curated record.